GACGAACGCUGGCGGCGUGCUUAACACAUGCAAGUCGAACGGAAAGGCCCUGCUUUUGUGGGGUGCUCGAGUGGCGAACGGGUGAGUAACACGUGAGUAACCUGCCCUUGACUUUGGGAUAACUUCAGGAAACUGGGGCUAAUACCGGAUAGGAGCUCCUGCUGCAUGGUGGGGGUUGGAAAGUUUCGGCGGUUGGGGAUGGACUCGCGGCUUAUCAGCUUGUUGGUGGGGUAGUGGCUUACCAAGGCUUUGACGGGUAGCCGGCCUGAGAGGGUGACCGGCCACAUUGGGACUGAGAUACGGCCCAGACUCCUACGGGAGGCAGCAGUGGGGAAUAUUGCACAUGGGCGGAAGCCUGAUGCAGCAACGCCGCGUGCGGGAUGACGGCCUUCGGGUUGUAAACCGCUUUCGCCUGUGACGAAGCGUGAGUGACGGUAAUGGGUAAAGAAGCACCGGCUAACUACGUG
Molecule: ribosomal RNA, 467 nt
Filed under: uncultured bacterium
Lineage: Bacteria
Description: partial 16S ribosomal RNA
Rfam family: Bacterial small subunit ribosomal RNA
Source: RNAcentral